This 3664-nucleotide long non-coding RNA is filed under the name Canis lupus familiaris (dog). RNAcentral describes it as "lncRNA (ENSCAFG00040011466.1)". The record is from RNAcentral. Lineage: Eukaryota; Metazoa; Chordata; Mammalia; Carnivora; Canidae.
AUGGCAAGACCAGGAUUUGAAGUAAGAACUGCUUGGCUCCAACACUGGCAUCCUUUCUGCUCUAUCAUGCCCAGAGGGCCACUUGCAUUUUUGCAGCUGGAUGCAAAGAAGUCUGGGCUGAAGAGCACAGAAGAAUUUCAGCCAGAUAUUAUUUGGAAGACACAUGGAAUCAAAAGAAAAAAGAAAAACUGAAGAAGAAAUCAAAUAUUGCACCUAAGAACCUCUACAUAGGAAAAAAAGUAAACCGGGACACCUGGGUGGCUCAGCAGUUGAGCAUCUGCCUUCAGCCCAGGGUGUGAUCCUGGAGUCCCAGGACUGAGUCCCACAUCGGGCUCCCUGCAUGGAGCCUGCUUCUCUCUUUGCCUAUGUCUCUGCCUCUCUAUGUGUUUCUCUCAUGAAUAAAUAAAUAAAAUAUUUUUUAAAAGUUAACCUGUUGAUUUUGUGCAUUAUUACAGCUUAAGUUGUUCAAUAUUUAGAGAAAUUAAAGGACACCAGAGGCACCGAGGGCUCAGCGACCCCUCCAUAUCUCCUCAAUUUCUCUGAAAAUCCAAGUCUCUUUGGUGAAAUGUUUCAUAAAACUAAUUUUUCACAAUAUUCAAAGAAGUUAAUAGGAAAGAAGAAGUCAUGAUUUUGUAAAAGAAGAAUUAAGACAAUCCUCUGGUGAACAUUUAUCACAAAAUAUUGUAUGUGCAAAACUCUCCUGAAAGAAAUAAAUAUUUCAAAAAACUAAAAAUGUCUCCAUAUUCUAUGAAAAAAAUGUAACCUGACCUCCUCCAGCACUGAUAUGUUGAGCUUGUUUUGCCUAUUUUUCGCCAGAGGAUAGUUUGUGCUCCUAGGAUACUGAAUAAUCGUACAGUUUGGCUUAAUAGCAAUGUUCAUUAAGCACAAUGGGAAAAGUUAAAGGUCCAGCAUUAGUACAGACUAUAUUUGUUUUUUUUUAAGUUUGGGACAUAAAUUAAGCCAUUUUAAUGUUUAAUGUGCAUGUGUUCUAUGCAUCUGUACAAAAUGGGCUAUGCAAAUUAAAAGAUAAGUAGAAAAGUGUUGGAAGGCAAGCACAUCUUUCCAUGAAUUUCCUCUAGGAGGCACCAUUUAAAAAACAAGAAUUGUAUGCACUUUAAUUGGUCAUCACUUCUUUCCAGUUUGAUAACUCAAUUCAGGAAAUAUGUGAAUGUUUUCUUGCCAUGUGAUACCUUAUAAUUUCUAAAAGCAUAAAAGGGCAUAUUAUUCUAUGGAUGACAAAUAGCUAGUAUUUAUUAAAUCCAAGAAAAAAAAACUUGAUAUUCCACAUUGCUCACCCAUAAGGAAGACACACGAAAGAGAAAAUUCUUUAAAUCAUUAAAUCUACAAAAAAAAAGAAAAUUUGAGGUAGUUUCCUAUUACAUAUUACAUUUUUUGGUGAAACUAUUUAGUUGAGCUUGUUUUGUCUUUUAAAGCAAUUUACUCCAAAAGAUUGAGGAAAUUUCCUGAAAAGUUACCUCUAAAUAAAAAUAUUCUGAUGAAUAGAUUGAGGUAUGAACACUUCCUUACAUGGCUUUGCCAGAAAGCAUAAUAUAAGACUUCUGCCCUUCAAGAAGCUUGCUAAAGCAAGCUAGCUGAGGAGACAGAACUUAUUCAUAUGAAACAAUGAGACCUAAUAUAAAAGUUAUGGUUAAAUCAUAUAGUAGAGAAAAUAAGUGCUACCCUAGUUCUGAGGAACUAGAAAUCGCUGUGGGCAAGAAUGAUCACGAAAGGAAAACUUCAUAGGGGAAGGCAGAGCUUGAUACAAAAGCAAUGUUGAAGGAGAUUAAGACAAAACAUUCCAAACCAGAACAUCAACACUGGAUGCUGUGGUACUUUCCAAGUAGAGCUAUGCCUAUUAAAUUAGCAAAUGAAAGUAACAGAUUAUGUUCACUGUCUAUGGCAGGUAUGUAUCUUGCUUAAAUGUGCAUUUAUGGAAAACUCUCUAUAAUAUUUGUAGGAGAGAGGGGAAAACCAACAGACUACUCAUUCAUUCAGUCAUCCAUCCAACAAUAUAUUUUAUUGGGUGCCUACUAUACGACACAUAAUGAUUUAACUAGUAAAUGAAACAUGUUCCUUUUCCUAAAGGAGCUUUCUUUAGUGGGGUGAAGAAAGAUAAAAAAUAACAGACACAAUAAAUAAGUAACCUGCAUAUGCUUAUGGAAGAUAUGCUAAACUCUAGAGCAGAGUAGGGGAAAUGAGAAGUGCCAGAGGUGGUAGGGAGGGAGGAGCGUUACAGUCUUACAACUAGAAAAUGAGCCACAUUAAAAAGAUGACAUAUGGGAAGAGAUCUAAGGAAGUCAAGUAAUUAUAGUUUUAUACAUGGGAAAAUUGUUUAAGCAGAGCUAACAGUAAGUGCAAAGACUUAAGGUGGAGUGCAUCUAAGAUGUUUUAGGAACAGGGCACUCUCAUGACUAAAGUAGCAUGAAUGAUGGGCAAAGUAGGUGGUGACAUAAGAAAAACAAUGGAGGCCAGUUCAUAUAAUGUCAUGGACUUUGACUUUUACUCUGAGUGAACUGGGGACCCACUGCAGGAUUUCACGAAGACUAACAUCAUUUUACUAAUGUUUGGCUUUUGUAUUGAGAACAGAACAGAAGGAAGGAAGAACAAAAUCAAAUAGACCAGCUAUCACCACAGUAAUCCUAGAGUGAUUUAGAGUGGGAUGGUAGCAGUGGAGCGAGUAAAAAGUGAUCACCAUCUGGAUCUACUGGGGAAGUCAAGUCAACAUAAUAUGAGGACUGUUUGAUGUGGAGCAUGACAGAAUACGAUGAGUAAAGAAUGACUCUAAAGUAUUUGUCCUAAAUAACUAAGAGUGUAUGACUGGAACUAGUGUUGAAGGGAAUAUCAGCUUCACAGCUUUUGGAUAUUUUAAAUUUCAAGUGUCCGCUGGUCCUCCAAGUAAGAAAGCUGGGCAAGGAAUUAGAUGUACAAAUAUAGAAUUUGGGAGAGGAGUUAAGAACACCUUUGAAUGGAAGUAUCAAUUAGCCAGGUGUCAUCAGUAGUAUCUAAAAUCAUAGUACUGAAUGAAAUGGCCAAGGAUAUAAGUCGAGGAGAGGACCAAGGGAUGUGUCUGGCUUCUUCCAUCACUAAGAGAUCUAGAAGAGGAGACAAAACCAGCAAAGGAGAAUGAGAAAGAGUAACUAGUGCUUUUGGAAGGAAAUCAAACUAUGGUUUCUGAAAGGCAAAUGAAAACAGUCUAUCAAAGAAAUGGGUGAUCAACUGUUGUCAACAGGUCAAAGUAAAAUAAGAACUAAGAAUUAAGAUUGGAUUUAGCAACAUGGAGGUCACUGUAGUCCUUGACUACAAUAGUUUAGUUGGGGGGCACCUGAGUGGCUCAGUGAGUUAAGCAUCUGUGUACAGCUCAGGUCAUGAUCCCAGGACCCUGGGAUUGAGCCCCCACAUCGGGCUCCUUGCCCUGUAGGGAGCCUGCUUCUCACGCCGCUUCAUUGCUCCCCCUGCUUGUGUUCUCUCUUGAACUAAUAAACAAAUUUUUUAAAAAAGAAAAGUUUAGUUGGCAUAGUGGUUUGACAAACCAGACUGCAUUAAGUUUAUGAGAAACAGGAGAACAAGUACAGGCAAUUCAUUUUUUACUGUACAGAAGAGAAAGGGAAUAAGAGAACAGCUAAGGGAUGGUAUGCAAAAAUAUUAUUAAGAUUAUUAAUAGAUU